GCGAGAAUGGCGGAAUUGGCAGACGCGCUAGUUUCAGGUACUAGUGAAGGCAACUUCGUGCAGGUUCAAGUCCUGUUUCUCGCACCA
RNAcentral lists this transfer RNA (87 nucleotides) under Clostridiaceae bacterium. RNAcentral describes it as "tRNA-Leu". It matches the Rfam family "tRNA". From Rfam's summary of the family: Transfer RNA (tRNA) molecules are approximately 80 nucleotides in length. Their secondary structure includes four short double-helical elements and three loops (D, anti-codon, and T loops). The record is from RNAcentral. Lineage: Bacteria; Bacillati; Bacillota; Clostridia; Eubacteriales; Clostridiaceae.